UAGGGAAUCUUCCGCAAUGGACGAAAGUCUGACGGAGCAACGCCGCGUGAGUGAUGAAGGCUUUCGGGUCGUAAAACUCUGUUGUUAGGGAAGAACAAGUGCUAGUUGAAUAAGCUGGCACCUUGACGGUACCUAACCAGAAAGCCACGGCUAACUACGUGCCAGCAGCCGCGGUAAUA
RNAcentral lists this ribosomal RNA (179 nucleotides) under uncultured Bacillus sp. Its description in RNAcentral is "partial 16S ribosomal RNA". It matches the Rfam family "Bacterial small subunit ribosomal RNA", at positions 355 to 525 of the family's 1533-position model. Lineage: Bacteria; Bacillati; Bacillota; Bacilli; Caryophanales; Bacillaceae. The record is from RNAcentral.